This 253-nucleotide ribosomal RNA is filed under the name uncultured bacterium. RNAcentral's name for it is "partial 16S ribosomal RNA". It matches the Rfam family "Bacterial small subunit ribosomal RNA", at positions 524 to 776 of the family's 1533-position model. The record is from RNAcentral.
UACGGAGGGGGCUAGCGUUGUUCGGAAUUACUGGGCGUAAAGCGCACGUAGGCGGACAUUUAAGUCAGGGGUGAAAUCCCGGGGCUCAACCCCGGAACUGCCUUUGAUACUGGGUGUCUGGAGUCCGGAAGAGGUGAGUGGAAUUCCGAGUGUAGAGGUGAAAUUCGUAGAUAUUCGGAGGAACACCAGUGGCGAAGGCGGCCCACUGGUCCGGUACUGACGCUGAGGUGCGAAAGCGUGGGGAGCAAACAGG